This 465-nucleotide long non-coding RNA is filed under the name Nicotiana benthamiana. RNAcentral describes it as "long non-coding RNA (NBEN_LNC017997)". Lineage: Eukaryota; Viridiplantae; Streptophyta; Magnoliopsida; Solanales; Solanaceae. The record is from RNAcentral.
GCCGGAAAAACACUGUAGCUGCCGGAAAAAUUCAAAGUUGUCGGAAUUGAAAAGUAAAAAUACGGAUAGGCUCGGAAUUCAAGGGUGAGCAAACUGUCCUGAAGAAAUUCUGGCCGGAAAGUACAGUAGCUGCCGGAAAAGUCACUGUAGGUUGCCGGAAAAAAAUCAAAGUUGUCGGAAUCGAACAAAAAAUGGAUGGGUAGGGUCGGAAUUAUAUUCCGACUAAACUGUCCUUCUGGAGCGAUCGGAAAAAGUGGCCGGAAAGGCAAAGUUGUCGGAAUCGAACAAAAAAUGGAUGGGUAGGGUCGGAAUUAUAUUCCGACUAAACUGUCCUUCUGGAGCGAUCGGAAAAAGUGGCCGAAAAGGCCCUCACGCGCCGGCGCGUGGGCGUCACGCGCAGAGGGUCCUGCCGCGCGUGGGGGCGCGUGAAGCGUCGGUUUCCGGUGAUUUUUUCUGGGGUUGNNN